CAUAUGACAAUUAAAUACGUAGAAACAAAGAACUGAAGUCUGAACAGGCCCGAUGUCCUCGUCAUUGUGAGGAAAUACAGUGUGGGAUCAGCCCAACUUGCCCACGCCGACCAACAUGUCCCAUCUACACUAGUCACACAUCCUUUUUCUCCAGAGAUGCUGCCUGACCCGUUGUGUUACGCCAGAACUUUGUGCCUAACUUUGACUAUUAAACACUCUUUGCCCUCUCUCUCUCUUGAGUCUAGCCUUUGCUCUGAGUCCAGCGUUAGUGACUGAUGAUAGAACCCAGUCUGUCCAGACGAGUUUAACGUUACCCCCAGCCCUGAGCUGCCAUCACAGCACAAACUAACGCAGAAGACAGGCAGAAGACACAAAAGCUUGAAACCAAACACCACCUGGUCCAUUCAGAUUCCCGUAGAGUACUGGAAAGUGUAAGGGUCACCACGCAACAUCCACCAUCAGAAUAACCAGCAGAGCCAAACCUGAUCAAAGAGCCUGAGGAAGGAUCCUGGCCCGAAUCAUCACCUAUCCAUGUUCUCCAGAGAUGCUGCCCGACCUGCAUGGUACUGAAUUAAUUAUUUGAUGUGAUUUGCCUCCAGUGCGGCCAUGCGUGGUGGAAUUUUGGGAGUGAUUAAUGGGAAUGUGGGGAGAAUGAGGUGGGAUUAGUGUUAAUGUUGAUGCAUGGGAGUUUACACAUCCUGGUUGGGUCUGUUUGCGUCUCUGGGGGUGGGUAAGGUGGCAACAAGGGCACCGUAUGCCGGCUGUGUGCCACAACCAGGCAGCACCUGCAAUAGAUUCCCUUUGAUGGUGAGGAGGUAAGUAUCUGCGAUGAACCGGGGAGUGUCCGCCGCUCUCUGUAAUCUCCUUCGUUGCUGGGGGUUCGAGUUGCUGAACCAGGCCGUGAUGCAACCAGUCAAUAUGCUCUCUGCCAUAUACCCGGAGGAAUUAGAGAACAUAUUUGUUGACGUACCGAGUCUCCACAGUCUUCUCAGGAAGUAGAUGUGUUGAUGGGCUUUCUUAUGGUUGCACCAUGGUGCUAAGCCCAGGAUAGAUCUUCAGGGUUGUGCACACCCAGACGUCUCCCACUUCCUCCAAAUCAAAGGCGUAGCUAUGGGCACUCGCAUGGGCCCAGCUAUACCUGCCUCUUUGUACAAUCCCUAUUCCAGGUGUACACUGGCCCUAUCCCCGAACUCUAACUCUAUCUAAUGCCGCUGCUCGCCUUUUAACAGGGACUUGAAAGAGGGAGCACAUAUCGCCAAUUCUGGCCUCCCUACACUGGCUCCCGGUGCACUUUCGAGUUCAUUUUAAGAUACUGUUAUUUGUUUUUAAAUCUCUGAAUGGGCUCGCCCCGCCUUACCUCUCUGAGCUGCUCCACCCAUACGCUCCUGCCCGGUCCCUCAGGUCAGCUGGUCAGCUGCUCCUGGAGGUACUGAGGUCUAGUCGGAGGCUCAGAGGGGAUAGAGCCUUCUCUGUUGCUGCUCCUGCACUCUGGAACACCCUGCCGUUGCACAUCAGACAGGCCCCCUCUCUGUCCAUCUUCAAAUCCAGUGUUAAAACACAUUUGUACUCCCUGGCUUUUGACCAUGCCUGAGGCUUUGCUUCUGUUUGUGGUGUUUUUGAUGUUUCUUUAUUUUACAUGUCUUUUCCUACUAUUUCUUUUGAUUGUUAUUUUUGGUGUGUAUUAACUUUUUUGUCAAUGAUUAGUGAUGUACAGCACUUUGUUGCAGCUAUGUUUGUUUUUAAAUUGCUCUAUAAAUAAAAUUAUUAUUAUUA
Long non-coding RNA from Leucoraja erinaceus (little skate), 1773 nucleotides. RefSeq lists it as uncharacterized. NCBI's taxonomy places the organism in Eukaryota, Metazoa, Chordata, Chondrichthyes, Rajiformes, Rajidae. The record is from RefSeq and is a predicted model, not a curated record. The transcript is spliced from 2 exons.